ACUCCUACGGGAGGCAGCAGUGGGGAAUAUUGGACAAUGGGGGAAACCCUGAUCCAGCAAUGCCGCGUGGGUGAAGAAGGCCCGCGGGUUGUAAAGCCCUUUCAGUAGCGAGGAAAAGCUGAUGGUUAAUACCCAUCAGUCUUGACGUUAACUACAGAAGAAGCACCGGCUAGCUCUGUGCCAGCAGCCGCGGUAAU
This 197-nucleotide ribosomal RNA is filed under the name uncultured bacterium. Its description in RNAcentral is "partial 16S ribosomal RNA". It matches the Rfam family "Bacterial small subunit ribosomal RNA", at positions 335 to 524 of the family's 1533-position model. The record is from RNAcentral.